GUAACAGAACUAGCUUGCUAGUUGCUGACGAGUGGCGGACGGGUGAGUAAUGCUUAGGGAUCUGCCUUUAGGAGGGGGAUAACCAUUGGAAACGAUGGCUAAUACCGCAUAAUGUCUACGGACCAAAGGGGGCUUCGGCUCUCACCUAGAGAGGAACCUAAGUGAGAUUAGCUAGUUGGUGAGGUAAAGGCUCACCAAGGCGACGAUCUCUAGCUGUUCUGAGAGGAAGAUCAGCCACACUGGAACUGAGACACGGUCCAGACUCCUACGGGAGGCAGCAGUGGGGAAUAUUGCACAAUGGGGGAAACCCUGAUGCAGCCAUGCCGCGUGUGUGAAGAAGGCCUUCGGGUUGUAAAGCACUUUCAGUCGUGAGGAAAGGUUAGUAGUUAAUACCUGCUAGCUGUGACGUUAACGACAGAAGAAGCACCGGCUAACUCCGUGCCAGCAGCCGCGGUAAUACGGAGGGUGCAAGCGUUAAUCGGAAUUACUGGGCGUAAAGCGCACGCAGGCGGUUUGUUAAGCUAGAUGUGAAAGCCCCGGGCUCAACCUGGGAUGGUCAUUUAGAACUGGCAGACUAGAGUUU
Molecule: ribosomal RNA, 583 nt
Filed under: Pseudoalteromonas sp. MED555
Lineage: Bacteria; Pseudomonadati; Pseudomonadota; Gammaproteobacteria; Alteromonadales; Pseudoalteromonadaceae
Description: bacterial SSU rRNA
Rfam family: Bacterial small subunit ribosomal RNA
Source: RNAcentral